GACGAACGCUGGCGGCGUGCUUAACACAUGCAAGUCGAGCGGUAAGGCCCUUUCGGGGGUACACGAGCGGCGAACGGGUGAGUAACACGUGGGUGACCUGCCCUCAGCUCUGGGAUAAGCCCGGGAAACUGGGUCUAAUACUGGAUAUUACUCUGCGGUGCAUGCCGUGGGGUGGAAAGCCUUGUGCGGCUGGGGAUGGGCCCGCGGCCUAUCAGCUUGUUGGUGGGGUGAUGGCCACCAAGGCGACGACGGGUAGCCGGCCUGAGAGGGCGACCGGCCACACUGGGACUGAGACACGGCCCAGACUCCUACGGGAGGCAGCAGUGGGGAAUCUUGCGCAAUGGGCGAAAGCCUGACGCAGCGACGCCGCGUGAGGGAUGACGGCCUGGU
Molecule: ribosomal RNA, 390 nt
Filed under: uncultured bacterium
Lineage: Bacteria
Description: bacterial SSU rRNA
Rfam family: Bacterial small subunit ribosomal RNA
Source: RNAcentral